CACCAAGAAGCUAUAUUAGCAUUAACCUUUUAAGUUAAAGACUGAGAGCGUCAAACUCUCCUUGGUGG
This 68-nucleotide transfer RNA is filed under the name Tragelaphus strepsiceros (greater kudu). Its description in RNAcentral is "tRNA-Lys". Lineage: Eukaryota; Metazoa; Chordata; Mammalia; Artiodactyla; Bovidae. The record is from RNAcentral.